Molecule: long non-coding RNA, 1242 nt
Filed under: Felis catus (domestic cat)
Lineage: Eukaryota; Metazoa; Chordata; Mammalia; Carnivora; Felidae
Description: lncRNA (ENSFCAG00000040676.2)
Source: RNAcentral
AUGUACACAAGCCUAAAGGCCCACAAAACGUGGAUCUGCUGUGGCCUGAGGAGCGGCACUGACUCACCCUCUGGAGACCACACCAGAACUCCUGUCCCUCCUGCCCUCCCGUGGGUGAGCCCUUGCACGCCCCACCAGCACAGCACGCUGUCACUACCGCAUCACUGCUCUCAAGUCGAAGCGCCCCUCCUGGGCUCAGCGGGCAGCAGCCACAGGCAUGUCCCAGGGGGCAUGAGUCUCCGGAGCCCUCACCCUCCUGCACACUCCCCUGUUCAGCUUUCUGAUGGGUCUAGACGAUCUCACAAAUUAGCUUCUGAGCAUCACGUCGGUGUACAUUUAUCAAAGGGGCUCUUCCUCAGGCCGGCGUGGGAGAAGUCACGUAGUCCUAGUCCUCUCCGCAGGACAUGGGAUUCUCUUCUUUCCAAGACUAGGUUGUCACUCUAACAAGGCACUCUGCUAUACAUUCAGUCUUGGUCUUUGCUACUCCCCCCAUUUCCCUGUUUCUCUAGCACCAAAAUGUGUCAGAGAAAUUGUUCUUGCUCAUGCGGCUUAAGGUAAAGUCCCAAUGAUGGCUUAAUUGUUCAAACUCUCAAUAUAAAUGGAAGAAUCUGUAGCACAGACUUCAACAGAAUAGAAAAAAAUUCCAAUUAAUAUUGAAGACAAUAACUGGAUGUUACUCGAGAAAACAUAAAGUGCUAAUACUAGUCAUAAAGCAAAACUCAUGUAUAUACAGAUGUCUGAAGGUAGGAUUUCUUGCCAGUUGAUGAAUGAAUUCAAAGAUUCUACUAUAAUUAAAAUGGGACUGUAAAAAACUACUUGUGAUGAUAUUAGAUUGACUGAAUUUCAUUAUUCUGGAAAAAUAUUCCAAGGACCAUCUGAUGGAGAACUUCUUGUCUAGAAAUACAGUUAUCUUGUCUGUUCUGCUCUAACACCCCUUUCCCUCUCCCUCACAUUCCUCAGCCACCACUCAGAGAAAAAUUAAUCUAGCCACCUGCCUUUGGGAAGCCUGAGGCCCUUCUCUGACUAGUUGGCAUUCAUCUUUUGGCCUUCACAAAUUUGAAUAUAAAAACAGUACUAAACAAAUCUGAUGUGAAGGAGGUGCUCAGUUUACCAGUGCUGAAAGAUGACGGUAGUGGGGAGUGUCCAUGCCUAUAAUACCAUAGGGUUAAAAUGAAGAAGACUGGAUCCAAGUCAAACAGAAAAAAAAAUAAAAUAAAAUAAAAAAGAAGAGAAAUGAAAGAG